Talaromyces stipitatus ATCC 10500 is the source of this 72-nucleotide transfer RNA. It matches the Rfam family "tRNA". Rfam says of the family: Transfer RNA (tRNA) molecules are approximately 80 nucleotides in length. Their secondary structure includes four short double-helical elements and three loops (D, anti-codon, and T loops). Lineage: Eukaryota; Fungi; Ascomycota; Eurotiomycetes; Eurotiales; Trichocomaceae. The record is from Rfam.
GGGCGUUUGGCAUAGUGGUAUUGCGCCUCAUUUGCAUUGAGGAGAUCGCGUGUUCGAUUCGCGCAACGUCCA